This is a non-coding RNA of Mycena capillaripes, 91 nucleotides long. Lineage: Eukaryota; Fungi; Basidiomycota; Agaricomycetes; Agaricales; Mycenaceae. The record is from the annotation of a GenBank genome assembly.
GGCAGUAUGGUGUAAAGCAGCACACGGGUCUAUCAUUCGAAUUGCGAAUCCCUGCAAUCCCGAGGUCCUUGUUCGAAUCAAGGUACUGCUC